This 179-nucleotide ribosomal RNA is filed under the name uncultured bacterium. RNAcentral describes it as "partial 16S ribosomal RNA". It matches the Rfam family "Bacterial small subunit ribosomal RNA", at positions 312 to 499 of the family's 1533-position model. The record is from RNAcentral.
CCGGGGCGGGGGCACGGGGGGCCUACGGGAGGCAGCAGUAGGGAAUAUUGGUCAAUGGACGCAAGUCUGAACCAGCCAUGCCGCGUGCAGGAAGAAGGCCCUCUGGGUCGUAAACUGCUUUUGACAGGGAACAAAUGCCACUUGCGAGUGAGCUGAGUUACCUUAGAAAGUUUAGUUUU